CGUUGGUGUUUAAUGAAAUAAACCUCAUAGUAGAAUGCUUGUUUUUUUGAUUUUUGUUUUUAUCUAGGUGGAGUUUUAAACACUUUGGCUUCUGACACUUCCAAAAAUGUAGUGUUUGACAUUCACAUUAGAGUGUCCUUCAAUGACCAAAAGUAGCUAAUCACCAUCACAGUUCAUAGUACUUCUAAUUAAGAAGAAUCUACAGGAAUAGAGUGUCAAUCUUAUGUGAAUUAGUACAAAAUCCUCAUAUGAACUUUUAAGAAACCUUGGCAUAUAUAUAUUUUAAUGACUGGUUUAUCCCCUGCAGUGAACCUCGUUAAUCCCUUUAAAAUUUACCCUUUCAAGUUUCCGAUCAACAUGACUAGAAAUAUUAAAGUACUGAAUAAUAAGAUGUUCCAGACUAAAAUCAUAUGUAAAUAAUCUCUCUUAAUGGUUUCAGAAGCGAUGUCAGAUAUAAAACAUACCAUAAAAGGGGGAUUAGAGAAGGGAGAUAACAAAAGGGUUUCAGAAACAUGUCAGGUAUCCUAAAACAUACCAUAAAAGGGGAUUAGAGAAGGGAGAUAACAAAAGGGUUUCAGAAACAUGUCAGGUAUCCUAAUAAAUUACCAUAAAAGGGGGAUUUGAGAUUGGAGAUAGCUAAAGGGUUUCAGAAACAUGUCAGGUAUCCUAAAACAUAAUAAAUUACCAUAAAAGGGGGAUUUGA
This 703-nucleotide long non-coding RNA is filed under the name Mytilus galloprovincialis (Mediterranean mussel). Lineage: Eukaryota; Metazoa; Mollusca; Bivalvia; Mytilida; Mytilidae. The record is from RNAcentral.